This is a long non-coding RNA of Lemur catta (Ring-tailed lemur), 101 nucleotides long. RefSeq lists it as uncharacterized. The record is from RefSeq and is a predicted model, not a curated record. The transcript has 3 exons. Lineage: Eukaryota; Metazoa; Chordata; Mammalia; Primates; Lemuridae.
AUUUGUUCCAGUUUUUUCAGUGAAAAUUUUCAGGUGAAGAAAUGCUUUCUGUGAAGAGCUAUGGAAACAGAAAGAAAAAUGAUGACAUGGUCUUGCUCUGU